Camelus dromedarius (Arabian camel) is the source of this 23900-nucleotide long non-coding RNA. RefSeq lists it as uncharacterized. The transcript is spliced from 5 exons. NCBI's taxonomy places the organism in Eukaryota, Metazoa, Chordata, Mammalia, Artiodactyla, Camelidae. The record is from RefSeq and is a predicted model, not a curated record.
UUGUAAUAUAUAGGAAACUAAUUGAUUCUUACAUUUUGCUUUUAUAUAUUGUAAUUUUUUCAAAUUUAUUCAUUAUUUCUAGCAUUUUUUUCCCAGAAUCUUCAGAGUUUUCUACAUAUUAGAUCGUAUAAGUUGUAAACAGAUAGUUUUGCUUUCUUUUUCUGUUGGGGUACCUUUUAUCUAUUUCUGCCUAUGCAUUCUUUUUAUUUUAAUUUUUCUUGGCAAGAGAGGUAAUCAGGUUUAUUUAUUUACUUAUUUUUAGAGGCAGUACUGGGGAUUUAAUACAGGGCCUCGUGCAUGCUAAGCAUGUGUUCUACUGCUUGAGCAAUACCUUUACCCCCACCCCCCUGACUCCGACUAUGCAUUCUUUCCUGAACUACUUUUUUUUUUUUCUAGGAACUCUAGUAAUAAAUUUUUAGAAAUAGUGAGAAAAGGUAUCCGUGUCUUGUUCCUGGUCUUAGAAGAAAGGCUUUCAGUGUUUUACUAUUGAGUAUGAUGUUAGCUGUGGGCUGUUGACAUAUGUCCUUUAUUGUUUAGAGCUAGUUUUUUUCUAUUCAUGUUUUAUUGUUUUUUUUUUUUUUAUCAUGAAAGGCUAUUGUCUUUUGUUGAAUGCUUUCUCUGUGUCACAUGAGAUGAUCAUGGAAGUUUUUACUUUCAUUCUGUUAGUGUGUUGUUUUACUUUGAAGGAUUUUCACAUGUGGAAGGAUCCUUGCAUUUCACAUAUUCUCCUUAGGCAAAGUGUAUAAUCUUUUUAAUGUGAUGUUGAUUUUAGUUUACUAUUUUAUUGAUGAUUUCUGCCUCAUUAUUCAUUAGAAGUUUUAGCCUGUGGUUUUCUUGUACUGUCUUUGACUUUGGUAUUAGAAUAAAUCUGGGUUCAUAGAGGUAGUUGAGAACUGUCCCCUUUUGUUCAGUAGUUUGGGGACAAGUUUAAGGAAGGUUGGUCUUAAUUGUUUUUAAACUUUGGGUAGAAUUCUGCAGUGAAGGUCUCUGGCUUUCCCUUGUUGAGUGGUUUUUGAAUAGUGAUUCAGUCGCCUUACAAGUUACAGGAUUUUUUGGACUUUUAAUUUCUUCAUGAUUCUCUCAUGGUGGGUUCUGUUUCUAUAGGAAGUUACCCAUUUUUUCUAGGUUAUCCUAUAUUUAUUUUAUUUUUUAAUUAAUUAAUUAAUAUUGUUUUUAAACCUUGCAUAGAAUUCUGCAAUGAAGCUCUCUGGUUCUCCUUUGUUGAAUGGUUUCUGAAUAGUGAUUCAGUCUCCUUACAAGUUACAUGUUCUGAUUUUUAAUUUCUUCAUGAUUCUGUGUUGGUAGGUUCUGUUUCCAUAGGAAUUUAUCUGUUUCUUCUAGGUUAUAUCCUAUAUUUAGACAUAGAAUUAUCUGGGUAUUUUUUCUAAAUUAAAAAGAAUUCUGUAAAACUAGUUGUAAUCUGUUAUAAUGUUAUGUUUUUCUUAUUCGGUAAUUGAGUCUUCUCCCCUUUUUUGUUAAUCUAGAUGAGGAAUUGUCAAUUUUCUUGUCCUUUUCAAAGAAGCAUUUUGUACUUUUGUCAUUUUCUGUAGUUUUAUUCUCCAUUUCAUUUGUCUCUAGUCUAAUCAUUUUUCCUACUUCUAGCUUAGGUGUAUUUUGUUCUAAGAUACUUUUACCUUGUUUUUUUUUUUUUUAAAGAAUUUUUUAUUCACAAUGUAAAUUCAGAAGGUAAUUCAUCAAAGAUGUGGGCUAGAAAAGGUAUUUUAAAGAAUAAUGCAGUUCUCAUCAAAAGAAAAAAUGUUUUCUCCUAUUUUGCCCUCUUUAUCAGUAUGAAAUUACGGAUGCUAACUAAAUUCAUUGUGGUAUUGUUCCAUAUGCUGUAAACCUGGAACUUACAUAGUGAUGUAUAUCAGUGUAUACAGAGUUGUGUAAACAACUCUUAAAUGCUACUACGUAAAGAAUUGGUUUUAAAAAGGAAAUAAUUAAAACACGUUGGACAAAAGAAAGAAUAAUGCCAUUUAUAGCAGUUAAAGAACUGCAUUGCUUUUUUCAAGGCAAUGGUUAAUGACCUAAAUUGUCAGAUGCCUUAGUCCUCCAGUCUCAGAUCCCAGGUUCUGUCCCUGAGAUUGUGAAACUGAGCAGUGUGUUCAGUUUGCCCUUCUGCGUGAAUGAAUCAGAAAAGCUGUUCUGUAGGGUGUCAGUAUAUAUCCCAUUUUACCCAGGGAGAGUUUUGUAUUUGUUUUUUGCAUUAGUAACACAGAGACUAGUCCAGUUCUUAUUUAUUUUAAAACUGCUUAAAUUAAUUCCAAUUUUGAAAAUGUUCCUGGAUCCUACCAACGCCCCAUGUCAACCCCUCUCUUUCCCGUCUGGGAGCCCCAAGUUCCGGGACCUCUGGAUUGCUUAUCCCUGGGCAGCAGAUCAUGAGCGCUAACUGCUGGCAAAACAGCUUUUUAUUUAAACCUUUUUUUUUUUCUUAACAUUUCUUUAUUGACUUAUAGUCAUUUUACAAUGUUGUGUCAAAUUCCAGUGUAGAGCACAAUUUUUCAGUUAUACGUGAACAUACAUAUAUUCAUUGUCAUGUUUUUUUUUUCUCUCUGUGAGCUUAUUUUUAAACCUUUUUUAUCUGAGGAUAAAACAUCUUGGCAUCUGACAUAACUGGUCCACAUCAGUGUAAACUUUUACCUAAAGUCUCUUCCAGACAGUAACUUAAAACAAUUGCUUCAAGGUAUGGGAUAGUAUCUCCCCUCCUGCUGCGCGACUCUGGGAACAGGCCUCGCUGCCUCGCUGCCCCUCCGCCCCCGCCCUCGGCCGCUAGCGCUCCGCCCAGGCCACGCCCUCUCCGUUAUUUAUUCGCUGGGGCCCCGCCUCCGGAAGUCCCGCCUCUUACUCUACCCUCAAGAGUUUCUCCCGGAACCGGAAGCGGAGAGCGGCGUGGAGGUCACGCAACAGAGCGAAGUUUCUGUUUUCUGGUGUUCUGUGCCGCAUCAUCCCGCUCAUUUAGUCCUCAGGGUGUGGAGUUGCUACGGACCUAAGGCCUCGGCACUUGGGUCUUCGGCCCCACGUAAGUCCGGACGGCGUUGCUCUACUUCGGUUAUCAUUUUCCUUUGGGUUUGAAUUUCCUGAGAGUGGUCCAUGCCCUUGGCUUUUCUACCUUCAGUCACGGAGACACCGCCUUUCUGCCGUUUUCCUGCUUGAAACGCUUUACUACCGCCGCCCCCCCAGUCCCCCAAUCCCUUUCCCCAUGUAACGUCGCCUUCCGCGAGGCGGAUUUGCCCCUCCCCCCCGCCCCCAACCUCGCUGUCUCGGCCCCUGGAGGGCAGCGCCUGCGGCCUCGCUCUCGUGAGGCCGCGUCCUCUCCCCGGGUCCCAGGAUUCUCGGGAGCCCGGCCCUUUCCUGAGACCCCCUGCCUGCCAGCCCGUGUCCUCGCGUCCUUUUCAGGCCUUUCUACGUAGUCAGCCCUUCCCCCACCCCGGGAAGUUAGAGGUGACCAUCCCUAGCCUUGUUUUUACGUCCCAAAUUGCACCCUGGUGGAAAAUGGUGUCUUCGGUAGGCGGCCAUCUCAUUCAGUCGCUAUCUUUCUAAAUACGUGGGUCGAGAGGACCAGGAAAAGCAGGUGAGGGGUGUGAGAGAAAAAUAGAAACACUGAUAAGGAGAAAAGAACGAGGGAGGACCGUUGGGGACGUAGAGGAUGGUUGAGGCACUUGUAGAGAGACAAAAGAGACAGUAAGAGGAAAGAAAUUAAACCUUGAAAGUAACAGGUGAAUUAAAUAGAGGUACAUUAAAAAGCCCAUCUCCAGGUGUUGGAGAUCGUCGUAGGGAGAGUGGCUCAGGAUCAGCGGUAGAAGGGACCGCAACGGUGGUGAGGCUCUUCACACGGAGAGUAGGGGGAGAGGAUGAAACAGGUGGAACCAUGACCCUCAGCGUCGUGGUGCUGGGAGAGAAAGGAAAACUAGUAACUGGAGAAGCAGAGGAAGAGAGAGCAGGAAGUAUAGCUACCAGGGAGUACCAGAGAGUGGGCCUAAGGGACUGUAAGUGGGGUAUUAAAGGUGUAACCAGAGGCCAGAGAGGAAGCAGAGAUGGAGGAAGAAGGAGACAGAAAUAUAUGGAGAUUUAGGGCAAUCAGAAAGGUUAGAGAGGAGGCACUGCUUUGGGAAAGAUCCCUGGUGUUCUCAUUUAUUUCAAGUGGUAAAUCCAUCCUUCUCCCGAGGAAAAAAAAAGAUUGGAGAUAAAGAGCAACAAGUGGGAAAGAGAGUUGCAGAGUGGGGCAGGACAGGAGUGAGGGAAGACAUAGGAGGGGAGAGAGAGCAGAAGAGUGGGGAACAAAAAGACAAAAGAGGGAAACAAACAGAAUGAAAGGAAACGGUAGUGCAGAUACAGGAGAAAACUGGAUUCACCUGGAGGUGAGCUGUUUCGAUGGGACGAUUAAAUCAUGAAAAAUGAUUGGCGGCCAUAGAAUUUUAAAUUUUGUUUGAAUUAUACAGAUGAGGCUGGAGUUAUGAAACGUUCUGUAAGGCCUGUGCAUUUUCUAAUUACUUGUACUGGAAGAUAGCUUCCAUUUGCAGCCCCUGUCCAGCCUGGGGAGCAGUGGCAUGAAUCAGGCAGUUAUGAAUUACCCUCUUCCCUUUUCCUAACGAUGGAAGGAGGUCAGGGGAGGACACGUGGGGCAAGAAAUGACUGUCCCUACGUGGUACUUUUUUAAAGGAACUUUGAAAGUGGUGUAUUUUGUAAUGUAUUUACUUUUUUGUUUCUUUACAUACUCUUUUGUAGCUUGGAAUGACUUAAGUUCAUUAAGUUUCUACUUUCCAAUAAAUUUUUAACUUCUGAAACCAUCUUUGGUGGCCUCUAAUUUUCUACUCAUGUCAUUCUUUUCUAAAUUCUUUUCUAUCCUCAUUUUUUUUCCCAAAAUGUUGACACCAAAGUUUUGGGUUAAAAGUAAUUCACAUAUUAUUUCUUUUUAAAAUUUGUCUCAGAUUUAUUCCAAGCCUGAGUACUUUAUUCUCUUUAUUUUAUGUAUUGGAAAAUUUCUUUGGUAAGUAGUACGUAAUUUUAGACUGUUGUGAGGAAUGCUUGUCAGAGAUGUCACGUGGCUAGUUAGUUGCUCAAAGUAAGAGCCAUAAGAUGGAGUAAGUCCUAAAAAGCCCAGCAGAACUGGUGUCCUCAUGCAGUGUCCUGAGGUGUCCCCAUGUUAAGUGUGCUGUGUCACUGCUGUGCUGUAGCCCCCAGGUCUUCCAGGCUGUGCACAUCCAGGGACCUGUUCCCACCUUGUUGGGAGCUUUGCCUUCCAUCAGUGCUUCUGCUCAGAGUCAGGGAUAGUGAUCUCACUGUGCUGAGGGUGAGUAGAAGUCUGGAGCCUAAGGGGGCAUGAUGGUGGCCUCCCUCAAAGAGCUAAAGUAUCUUUUAAUUACCUGUGAGUGGGGAGAACAGGAGACAAGAAAUCUGGGGACCGUCUGUCUCCAAGACUUCCUUGCUGGUCUCAAAUGCCUUUGUGACUGGUCUCCAUCAGUUCCCCAGCUGCUAGUAAGUUUUCCCAGGAGGGCCUGCUUCCUGACCGUCAUACUCAAUGUCCAGUGUCCUUUGGGUGGCAGCUUGUGUGUGUUCCUGUUGUGAUGCCUUUGCUGAGAGGUCCUUUCCCUUUUAGCCCUGUUCCCCACGCGUGCGUGGAGGAGAGGCGGAGAAAUGGGGAAAGUGGAGGGGAGCCUGUGGGGUCUGCAGGAGGGACCUGGCAGCCAGUGUGGGCGUCAGGAUGAGCCCCAUGAGCGGUGUGUGCGCCUGUCCUAAGUGGAGUUGUGGGAUCAAGGACUGUGUGAAUCUGUUUGAAAGGGAUGUCUCAUUCAGGCUGCAGGACCAGGAUGUGGCUUUGUUCGUAUUUGCAGCCUGCAUGGAACGGUGUCAGGUACCAUGGUGUCUUAGCACAGUUCCGUGGGAUGGAUACUGAGACUGGGUUUUGCAUGCAUGGGCUUAAUUGGGAAACUCACAUCACACGUGAGGAGAAGUGAUGGCAGUGGAACGGCACAGAGAAACCGUUUCCUUCAGUGGUGUUAGAACCGAGGCCUGAGCUGAGCCCACGGAACUGUGGGUGUAGGAGGAUGGGUGCCUUGUCCUGAGGGGCUGGAUUUAGAAGGUGCCCCCCAGCAUUCACUCCAGUCCGUGACUUGUAGGGGUCUUUUGGGAGGGCGAGAAUCAUCAUGCAAGCCAUAGAGUAAUUAGAGGGAAAAUCGCAGAGAUAAUUUUAUCAGAUACCUUUGAUAUCUUUGAGUAUUUUGGGUUCCUAGUGAAGAAGGUUUCAGAUGCACUUGGAAAGAUGCAGAAGACUGACAUGUUUCCUUGGAAGCUUUGGGGUCACACUGGGUCACGCGUGUCAUUGGAAAUAUCCCUCUUAUCAGUCGUGUUGGAGAUGACAGUGCUUGGUCAGGGUCACUGUCAGUGAACGUAUUGUCUUGUGGUUAGUGACUCCGUGGGUGUCUUAAGUACAUUUCCCUCAUGACACGAGUUACUGCAGUUUGGAGUGUUUCCUGUCAUUGUAUAGCAGGAUGGGCAGUUAGCUUGGGUCCUGUGGGGACUGUGUUGUGCUCUGGGAGAGUCUGAGUUUGUUUGACUACAGAAGGGAAAUUAUGUGUCGUCAGCUGAAAAUUGCAGAAUGUUUUCAGUAGGGUGGGCCUGCUAGGUAUGUGCCUAUGGGCCCAAGGUGAGAGGGGCCAUAAAAUUCUGUGACGUAGGGAAGGAUUAUUCCAGGAAUCAGAGGGCAGCAACACCACAGCGAUCAGCGGUCCAGAGGCUCAUCCUUCACAAGACGUAGCUGCAACUUUCUUGCUACCAGGAUUGACCUCUAAAGACUCACCUUUCCUGAAGGAAAAGUCCAGAAGAGGAGGAAGAGGAAAAAAAGAAGUCAGAAAUGGAUCCUUCUCAGGGGCUGUUGACCUUUGCGGACGUGGCCAUCGAGUUCUCCCAGGAGGAGUGGGAGUGCCUGGACGCUGCUCAGAGGGCCUUGUACAGGGACGUGAUGUUGGAGACCUGCAGGAGCCUGCUCUCCCUGGGUGAAGGAACUUAGGACCAGGAAAAAAAAAAAUCCCAUCCAAGGAAGUGGCUGAAUCCGGCUUUGGUCCACGUCAUCUGGCUGCAGAGAGAACUUAGGCACGUGGCUACACUAACAAGGCACGUUCUCCACGCCCUUCAGCCACUCGUGUCUGUAGUUAACUUCAUGAGCGUCUUCUCCAUUUGUAGCUGACUUGCUGUCAUGUGUAACUGUGGUCACGGCAGCUUCCUGUAGCAGCCAUCCAGGGACACCUUUUUACUGCUCUUCGCUUUACUGUGUUUCACGGGUCCCGCGGUUUUACCCGCUGACGGUUUGUGGCAACCCACCGUGAAGUAAGUAUUUGGCGCCAUUUCUCCAACAGUGCUCGGUCAGUUCGUGUCUCUGUCUCAUUUUGGUAGUUCUCGCGCUGUUCCAGACUUUUCCAUCGUUGUUGUAUUUGUCGCUGUGCUGUGUUACCAGCGAUGGUUGAGUGUGCCUGCUGUGACUCACUGAAGGCUCACACGAUGGCUGGCCUUUUUAGCAGUAAGCUGGUUUUGUCUGUCUGCCUCUGCAGGCAGUGAAGGGGACGCACCUGCUUGGGUGGUGGCUGCCCUGCCAGCAGUGGAGGGGCCUGUGGAUGGGCCUUACUUGAUCUUUUUCCUGGGCCCCUGUUGUUGGUGUGGCCACAGUAAUUCUUACGCCAUCUGACAGGACGCGGUGCCGGGAAGCAGCACCCCUGGGGCAGGUCAUGUCGUCCCAGUUGUGUUUCUGGGGGAGCUGCCCCGCAGACAGAAGAACCGAGUGCAGGGGGCACGACCAUCCUCCAGCUCUUUGCCCACAAAAAGCAGAUGCAGCUGGGCAGGUGGGACGCCCUCAGGGUCUUCAGUUCAUAGUCUGAAGAGUAGCGUAAACGGGGGUAGGGUAGAGUGAGUGCUUAGCAUGCAUGAGGUCCUGGAUUCAAUCCCUGAUAACUCCAAGUAAAUAAGUGAAUAAAUAACUCCCCAAACUAAAACAAUUUUUUAAAGUAGUAUCAGCAUAAGUUGUCUGUGCCCUGUGGUCCAGUGAUAACUGCUUUGCUGUGGGGUCUGGCAAUGAGCCCACGAUACUGCCAGGGUUUACCUGUGUUUCACUUCGUAGGCCAGUAUUGCCAGGGACUGAGUAUUUAAAUAAUAUGUAGGUGCGCUAAUCAUCAAAUAAUUCAAGGAAAGGGAUUACUGAACAUGACGUAUUCAUUGAGGCAAGAGCGGUUCACUGCUACGAUGCCCUUCGGCCAGGAGCAAGUGUAAAGUGAUACCAACUAGGGAAGUAGCUGCACAAGGCUGUGGGCACUGAGGUUUAAAAGGAAAACAUGAGCCAGAGGUUUUAGGGUAGAGGUAACUUGUUAUUGAUUAGAAAUCGGUGGGGAGGCUCCAGCUCCGUGUUAGAGCGCGUGCUUAUUAGCACGCAGGAGGUCCUGGGUUCAGUUCCCAGUACCUCUGUAAAUGAAUGAAUCAAUCAAUCAAUCUUAAUUUCUCCCGCCAAGAAAAAAAAAUCACGUCCUUAAAGUAUUAUUUGAGGACUAUUGAGAGAAAGUAUUAGAUAUAAUGUAAUAAUUUUUUAUAAUGCAAUAAUUUUUGAAAAAGAAUAUGUAAAAUUGCAUCAAAAUCUUUGGGAACGUGUACGUAAGUUGAAACUGUAGGUGUGUUGUGAGUCUAGGGUAACACUGCAUGAAAAAAGUGUAUUGAUACAAUUUGAGUACCAUUACACCGUUUUAAGUAUGGAAUCCAGUGACUUUUUUUUUAGUGGAUUUACGAAGUUGUGAAGCCAUUCACACAGUCUAGUUUUAGAAUAUUUCUAAUGAGCCCCCACCAAAAAUAUUUUCAUUCAAAACAGAAAAAACUCCACGUGAUCUACUUGAAAGGUGGAAACUGGUGAAGUUAGUUCUUUCCUGGUCUCAACCCCGCCCUGGUAUGAAGCCCACUUUGAUGGCAUUAACUUCAAAACAGCUCCUUUAAAUUCGGAAGGGAAGCUGCUCACACCAUAGUCAACAGACCAUCAGUAUUUCUGUCUAGAUACCAUUACUCUCCGUUAAGUACAUCAGAUGUCCAGCAUUAAAGAGAGACCUUUCCUUCCCAUUUUCACCAAGAAUUUAGACUACUUCCCUAUUAAUUUUAGAAUCAUCUUGCUUGUAUUUACAAAAUCUUGAUUGGAAACGUAUCAAACGUGUCAGUCAGUUUGGGGUGACCUGCCAUUGUUUGUGUUGUGUCUGCCAGUCAGUGAACAUGGUGUUUUCCAGAGAUGACCUAAAUGAAAGGCCAUCUUUGAUUUCUUUCGUUAUUUUGUAGUUUUCACCAAAAAAGUCCAUGUUUUGUUAAGCUUACUCAUUUGUCUACUUUUAAUUUUUUUGAGCAUUCAAACAUGGUAUUAUAUUUUCAAUUUCCAUGUAAAUUGCUAGUGUAUGAAGUUGAAAUAGAUUUUUGUAUUUUGUUCUUGUAUCCUAGACCUUGCAAAUAAUAGUCUUCUAGAAAUGCCCGUGAAUUCUUUUGCCUUUCUCCAUGUGCCUUUCUCCAUGUGCCAUUUCAGUAAAUGUCCUGUUUCCACUGUACCAAAUUCCCGCGAACUGAGCGGCUCUGAGCAGCACUGUUCUCUUGUAGUUUCGGAGGCCAGAGUGUGAAGGGGCCCCGCAGCCCUGGGCCGCCUCUGGGCGCGCCAGGCCUGAAUAUGCCUCCUUGUCUGUUCUGGGGCCUGGAGGUUACGACAGCCUUUGCCUCGCCGUCUCCUUUCUCGACCAUCGAAAGCAGCAAGGUAGCCCCUUAAUAUCUCUUCGCCGCUGUCUGUGUGUUUCCAUCAGACCACCAACUUCUCCAUGGAGCUGCUGGCACUCCACCCACUUACAGGAACCUUUAGGAUUAUAUCACAUUCACCAGAUCAUCCGUGUCAUCUCCUAUGUCCUGGUCUUGACCCCAUUUGCAAACUCCCCUUUGACAUUUAACAGUUAGUGGGGAGGAUGUAGCUCGGGGGUAGAGCGUAUGCCUAGCACGCACAAAGUCCUGGGUUCCGUCCCUGGGCCUCCAUUACAUAAAGAAGUAAGUAACAAACAAACGUAAUUACCUCCCUCCAAAAAAUACUAGAAAAUAACUUUAAAUGGCAUUUAGAAAAAACAAAAAAAACAAAAAAAAACACCACCCAGCAUGUUACAGGUGCAAAGACAUGGCCGUUACUGGGGGGAGGGGGCAUUACUCAGCCCACCACAGUCGCGAUGCCUCCUGCCCGUGGGCGCACAAUUUUAUCUUCCUUUCCUCCCUUUAUGGGUUUCGUUUAUUCUCUUUCCCUUGUUUUACUGGCUGGAACUUCUAAUAUAAUGUCAGUAGCAGUGGUCAGGGUGGGCAUGCUUACCUUGUUCCUAAUCUCUGGGGAAAAGCAGCCAGCUUUUCAUCAUUACUUGUGUUUGCUGUAAUUUAUUUGCAGAUGUUCUUUAUUGAGUUGAGAGAGGCUCCCUCUCUUCCUCCUUUUCUGAAGUUUGUAUUAUAAAUAGUUGUUGAAUUUUUUUAAAUGUUUUCUCUACAUCAGUUGACAGGCCUCUCAGCCUGUUAACAGUGUGGAUGACACUGGUAUCUGAACAGCCUUCUCUCCCUCAGAUACGCCCCCUUGUUGGUGGGGCUGUAGCUCGUUGGUAGAGCACGUGCUUAGCAAGAGGUCAGGAGUUUGAGCAGCAUUCAGUUUUACAUGAGACCUGGUUUUGAGGUCCCACUACUGAUUUUUUAAGCCUCACUACAAAGUCAUCCUAUUCUGCCCCCGCCCCAAGAGCUCAGGUAUCCCCCAGUUUGCUGCGAGUGGGGAGCACAGGAGACAGUUAUGGGGGCCUCUCUCUGUGACUUGCUCACUGAACUCAAUCCAGCCAAUUCUCAAACGCCUUUAAACUGGACUUCAUGAUGUCCACAGUGGCUGGCACGUCUUCCCAGGAGCUACGACUUCUUGAUCUCCGUCCUGGUUGCCCAGGGUCGUUCAGUUUGCAACUUGCAUGUAUUCCUGCUAUGAGGCCUGUUCCAGGAGGUCCCUGUGCCUUUUAGCCCCAUUUGCUCACGUGUGCGUGGAGAGGAGGGAAAAUGAGGGACAUGGAGGGGAGCCGUGAGGGCUGCAGGAGGGACAUGGCAGCUGGUGUGUGCACCUGCCCCAAGCGUGGUUGUGGGGUCCAGGGCUGUGUGGGACUGCUGGAAAGGGAAGCCUUUCUGACAUCUGCAAAUGCACCUAUGGGUCGUUGCAGGCUGCGUGGAACAGUGUGUGGUGCCACAGCGUCUUAGCUCGAGUUCCCUGGGACACGACCUGAGCUGAGCCCACGGGGAGCUUAGGGUGCAGGAGGAUGGGUGCCUUGUCCUGAGUGGCCGGAUCUGGAGGGUGCCCCCCAGCAUGCAUUCUACGCAGUGACCUGUGUGAGGUCUUUGGAGGGCGAGAAUCAUUGUGCAGCCCAUGGAGUAGUUAGAGGGAAAAUCGGAGAGUUCAUUUUCUGGGAUGUCUUUGGUUAAGUUGCAGUGAAGAGCAUUUUGGAAGCUAUAAAAGAAAAGUUGGGAGGGUUUCCUUGGAAGAUGUUGAGGUCUCACUGGGGCAGGUGCAUCACUGGAGACACAUCUGUGUUAUUAGUAGAUGUUAGAGGUGACGGUGUGUGGCUGGUGUCACUGAAUGAAAACAUGGUGUCUUCUUCAGUCUGGUGGGUCCCUGGGUGUCUUCACGUGUAUUCCCUCGUGUGUGCGUUGUCAGGGCUUGCAGUGUUUCGUGGGACUGCACAGCAGGAUGGGCCGAUCAUUAUGGGGUGUCUGGGGAGUUUGUUGGGCCCCAUGAGUCUAAGUUUCUCUGAGUCCAGAAGGCAAACAGGUGGUUCUAACUGUCGAUGGCGAAAGGAUUUCUUAAGGGAUGUCCUGUCUGGGAUGGGUGUACGGGCACAACUUGAGAGGGGCCAUAAAAUUCCGGGAUGUAAGGAAAGAUGGUUCCAAGCACCAGUGGAUGGCCACUAUUACAGCGACCUGCAGUACAAAGGCUUAUUUUGGGGAAGAUAUAGCUGCUACUUUCCUGUUACCAACCCAGUGUGGUUCCUCUACUGUCCUUCCCCAUCUGUCCAAAAUACACCCAUGUGCGUGGCUGGUGGGAUGUACGUGGCUGGCAUAGGAUACAGCAUUCCCACUUUUUUUUUAAUUGCAGUAUCUUCAGUUUACAGUGUUGUCAGUUUCUGGUGUACAGCGUGAAGUUCAGUCACACACAUAUUUCUCUUCGUGCUGUUUUUCGAGGAGGAUGGCCAUGACCUUUUUUACGUGUACCUGUAGGUGGAAGCUAGUGACAAGGCCCCACAGUCCUGGUAAGUACCUUUGUGCUUUGCUCUAAGGGUCCUGGUGGCUGAUCGCCCUUCCUCCCCCACAUCACUUCAUGCUUGUGACCCCAGUGUAUGCAGGGCCGCCUCUGUGCAAGGCAGAAGGUUAUGUGACUCAAAUGAUAGGGUGGCUGUAUAUUUUAAACAAUGUGUCAUUUAUUCAUUCACUUAAAAUAUUUUUAUUGUUGACUUCAUUACACAUUUCUUUCAGAUUCUUUUCCAUCAGUUUUUUUUACAAGGUUGAAUAUACUUUCCUGUGUUACACAGUAGGUCCUUGUUAACAAGAUACGUAUUACUAUUAUAAAUAUUAUAAAAUAGAAACAAGGACCUACUGUAUAUAGCACAGGGAACUAUAUUCAAUUUUUUGUAAAAUGGAAACUGAAAAAGUAUGUGUGUAUAUAUAACUGAAUUCCUUUCCUGUAUGCCUGAAGCUAACAUUGAGAAUCAAUACUUCAAUUAAAAAAAAAAAAACAAGAAAUCUCCCUAGCACAAGCUAGGCAGAGGAGUGUGAGGACUUGGUAAGAGGGAAAGCCUGUGUGACGAUCACAGGCCACAGGAGGAGAAACACUGGCUCCUGAGUAGGUGGCGGUGGGCGGGGCUGGAGGUGAGGCAGCGCUUUAUCUCCAGAAGGGCCCGCAGGCGAUGCCUCAUGUUUCCACCUCAGACCCUGAGAGGGCGGCAGUCAGCUGAAAUAUGUGACUGGUGCCGAGGGGAGCGUAUUUGUUGUGCCUGCCAGUAAAAAUGCGCAGGUCUGGUUGGGGCAGACUGUGCACUGGAAGCAAGUCAGAAGGUUUUACUAAAAAUUCAAGUCAGAGCUGAUGAAUCUGAAUCAGAAAGAAAAAAGACAAGACAGGAUGUUGGGAUUUCUAGCAGGUAGAAUAUUCUCUAAUAGGUGAUGGUCCCAGUUAGCCUGCUGGGGAGACAGGGUUCUGGGUGGGCCCCCGCGUCCCCAUCCCGGGGGAGCUGGGGGCGGGGGUCAGUCCCUGAAAGAGCCAAUGGUGUGAUCUGCAAACCCAAAGACAAAAUGGACAACCCUUCGUCUCUAAGACACAACAAUUAAGAAACGUUUUUACUCGCUGUCAGGUAAAGCACGUGAAAAGUAUUAGGCGAGUGUCUUUUCCAGUUGGUACCUGUGCUCUGCUCUCCUCAGGCCCAGCUUCCCCACACCCGGAGCUCGGAGGUCGCUGGGGAAGUCCUGACCCUGCUCUGAGUUCAUCUCCUCUGUCCUUGUGACCUGAGAGGCUGCGUCCAGGUCUCCUGAGAACUGCUGUGCGGCAGGUACGGGUCAAAAACCCUCUGUCCUUGGUUCACACAGACACCCGUCAGCAUCUGCAGUCUUUACAACUUCGAACCUUUCUCUGACUCCCUUCCACGCCCACCCUCACCUGGUGGCAUCCUUCCUUGGGUUCUCUGACUCCCUUUCACGCCCACCCUCACCUGGUGGCAUCCUUCCUUGGGAGAAAAGGAAAGGAACUUGCCUCCAGGCUUCCCGCCAGAUGCUGCAACUUGCUGCCAGGAACCCGGACUCCUUUAAAGUCCGAGAGCUGCACCCACAUUUCCCCCACAAGGGACCCCAGGACAAGCGCAGGGGAAGAAACUUAGCUCUGACACUCGAGCUGCUUAUCUUGUACCAAUGUCAGACACAUCGCUACUGCUGUGUCUGGGCAUGUCGCCAGCUUUUCUCCAAUGUCACACAGGAAGGACAUACUUGAAGCACAGCUUUCUGGGCUUGUGUAUAUGCAUGAAUGUUCUCUCCGCUGUUAGGAUAAGCUCUACUAACAAAAUUAAAUACCCAGCUGACUUUCUCACCAGAAAAAGUAGACAUGGCAGUAACUCCUGGAUCAGACCUGAGCCCUCCAAGCUGUGCUGUUAGCACUGGGAGACAAGCCUGAACCACAAGUCCCUGAGGAAACUCUACAAAAGGUAAAAGCAGGGGUCCGGGCUGACAGGACACAGAAGGGCAGUCCAGGUGCCAGGGCUGCAGACUGACAGCAUGGAGGAGGGAAGGGAGACAAGGUUUCAAGCCACCGUUCUUCUAGGUCAGUUACUUUGAGGUCAGUUACUUUGACCUUGUCAGUCCCAGGAUGCCACACCUGUCCUGCUGUACAAACACCCAGGUCCGAGAGUAGCCUUUUGUACCAGAUGUGAGGAGGUAUGAGCCCACAUUCUUACUUUACUAACAGGUCUGGACUGAAAAGAUGCCUUUUUACUGCUGCUCCCUGAUGAGGCCUCGUCCCCGGGACUGUUUGCCUACAAAUGAGGUGAGGCAGAAACUAACAUAACAGUCCUGCCGGAUGGUCCUGCCGCAAGGAUGUGAAAAUGCCCCCACUAACUUUGGGGACGUCUCAGCCAGGGACCUAACAGCCCUUCCAUUGAACGUCUUGCUCCAGCAGGUAGGUGGUAUUGUGAUUGCCGGUAAAACAGGAAGCUUCAGACCAAAAUGCAGCCUCACCUGAAGUUUUCUGGCAGACCGGGGAUAAUUUCUUAACCAACUGUACGGUAUCUGGGACUUGAGUUAUCAAAGGGGCAAACUUACUGCUGGAUCUAAAAGAGGCAUCACCAGCGAGGAAGGGCAGAGCUCAGCGGUAGAGCGGGCGCCUAGCCUGUGGGGCUGAUCCCAGUACCGCCAUUAAAUGAAAGCAAGCGUUAGGACGCUGCACCGACCCCCCCCAAAGUCAGGUGUGGGGAUUUUUAGAAAAUGCUAGGUUUUGUUGCAUUUGGAUCCCUAACUUUGGACUCAGAGCCAGAGCCCUGUGUGAGGCUCUCAAAGGAAAUGACAACAAGCCCUGAAGAGGGGCUCUGGGCUGCCCUCCUGGGUUCCACACCAUCAAGGAGAAACCUGAGCAGCCUCGCACUUGGUCCGUCAGGUGUUAUGAAGCCACGUGACCUUGUGCAUGAAGCACAGGGCGGGCGUCCCGGAGGGCUAGCUCUAAGCUUAGGUGCAGUAGCCAGCAGGCUGCUUUUCCAAACAGACCUCGUAACUGAAGGACGGCUGGCCCUAGGCCAGCCUACCACUGCGCACGUCCGUGUGCCACCCUUCCUGGAACGGCAGGGCACGCACCAGGCCACGCUACUUAACAACCUGAGUGUAAAAGUAAAAGGUGAUAACCACUCUAAACCCAGUCACUCCCACAAGUGAACCUGUCCAUGGCUAUAUACAAAUGACUGACAAAGUCUAUUCUAGGGGACCUGACAAGAUGUGCAAAUGCUUACGGACAGGAGCAGCUUCAUGGACCAGGGACUCCGAAAGGCGGGGUGUGCGACAGCAACGCACCAGGACUUGGAGCAGGAGGCCUGCCUCCAGGUACGUCCGCCCAGAGGGUAGCGCUCACAGGAGCCCUGCACCUUGGAGCUAAGGAAAAGGUAACCAUUUGUAGAGAUUCUAAGGAUGCCUUCUCUGAAAUACAAGCACAUGGGACCACGUGGAGAGAGGUCUGCUAAUAGCAGGAAGGAACGUUAACACACAGAAGGAAGCAGCUGCGGGAAAUCAUUCCACUGGUCAGAGUGAGACAUCCAGACCCUAAGGCCCUAGCCCUCACCCCGGGCGCUGACCUGCCCCCACGUAGGCCUCCGUGUUCAGAGCGCAGACGCUCUGAUCAGUACCACCACCCAAAGAAGGCUGGCUUCACGGUGGAGACCAGCUGGUGCUUACAGCUGAGCAUUAAAGGGACAGAAUGAUCAAGGAGCCCGUUAGGGGAGGGAUGCAAGCUAGCAUUAGCUACAAAAAUGUACUACUGGUCCACAAAUGCCAAGGUUUGUCUCAAAGGUCAUACAGAAUUGCCUGAUCUGUGCCAGAAACAGUCCUCAAGCCUGGCCACCUCCAAUCAUAAAAGGGAUGCAAACCCGAGAGGCGGAACCAGGACCUACCGGCAGACAGACUUACUGUUGUGCCAAGGGCCGUGGGGGAACUGUAGACAUUGCUGGGGUCUGAAUGCCUUCAACAGGGUAGGCUGGGUGAAGCUUUUCCAUGCAGGGCAGAAAAGGGCUUCUGAGGUAGCGGGGGCCUUACUAGGAGAAAUCAUGUGUCUUUGUGGGUUGCCUCUUUCAAAUCAAAGUGCCAACAAAGGAGCUUUCAUAGCCAGGGUAACUCUGGGGAUAAAAGGGGAGUUACCGUGCUCCAUGGAGACCUCAGUCCGCAGCAAAGACUGAAAAGAUGAGUCAUUCCUUAAAAAAGAGAACCACCAAAAUAGGCCAGGAAACCAACCCAGUUUGGGAGAAGGCCUUGCCGGUUACCCUGCACAGGAUAAAAGCAGCCCCCUUAGGCAACGUUACACUGGAGAGCCUUCCUUAAGACUCAGCAUUGUUAGCACUGCAAAUCAGCUGUUUCAAUAAAAAAUUAAAACUUCAUAAAAAUGAAUAAAUAACAAUAUGUUCUUUAAGUAAAUACAGAACGAACAGCUCCCAUAGCACUUCAGGGAGCCGUGUAACCUGCAGCACACGGAGGAGGCCCUGCCUGCGCAGAAUGGGACUGCGGCCCAAAGAACAAAGGGCUGACUGUUCAGAAAUUAUUGGGGUGGGGGGUCUGGGCCACUGGCUCAUGACUUGAGAGGCUGAGAACCAGGGUGACGUGGACACCCAGUCAUCUUGUGAUGUUUGUGUACCAGGCACACCAAGAGGAAAGGUGGUCCUUACCCACAAGUUUAGGAUCAAGUGAGGGUUGUUAGAGGCACGUGGGAGCUUCUAUUUUAGGCCCCAUCAUCUGGGAGCUCCUGGGGCCAAUUUUGAGGUCCUGGAAGAUUCUCAAGAAAGGUGCUGCCUGUCCAUACACCCCUGGUUGCUGUGUGGACACAAAACAAGUCUGCAUUAAAAUUACUAAGGUGGGAUGGGGGAGUGUGCUUUCCAUGCACAAGGUCCUAGGUUCAAUCCCCAGUAUCUCCACUAACAAAGACAGGAAAAAAAAAAUCACUGAGGAAAACAAACCAUGGUUACCAAGGGGAAAGGGGUGGUGGGCAGGGCAGAAGCAGUGACUGGAAAGGAGCCUGGGUCAGACCCUCCCGGAGAGGCAGGAGGUGAAUGGCACUCACCUUGGGGACGUGGAUGCUGGCUCCCACCAUGGGGACACUGGACACCGGAGCUGGUAAGCACCACGUAAGAACCCUUCAUCUGGCUACCAGUGCAGCCCCGCCCACCAGCCUGCUCACCACCAGUCCUGUUACCCCAGGACUCCCGGCCCCUGCACAGCAGUGAGUGACAGGACCUCUAGAACCCUCAAGGCUCUGCAGCCGCGGGCCUUGGGUCCCAGGGCUCACAGGGGCCAGGACUAGCCCCGGGGCGCAGCACCAGCUUCAUGACCCCCAGGGCCCUGCGGUAAGAGGCCCUGGGUGCCCUGGGGCCCAGCCCUGCCACCCACCCUGGGAUGCCCGGAGUGCUGGCACCCUAGUGUGAGACCCUGGGACCCAGGUCCACACACCAGCCGCCACUACCACUCCCAGGAUUCCGUGGGCCACAGACCUGCCUACAAGGGGGCCUGCAGCAGAGCCAGACCCCUGCGCCUUGCAGGAAGAGACCCAUUUUUGGGUGUUUUUCCCAUCUUUGGAUUAGACCAAAGUCCAGAAAAUGGGGAGGGAACCGGGAGAGGCCCAGAGGUUAGGAUGAUGGAGGUGUCAGCUGUGGGCUGUUAGGGCUAAGAAUGAAGCGUCCGACGGAGUCAAGUCCCGAACGAGGAACGAGAAACCCCUUUGAACCAGCCGCCAUCACUCUUUCAGCCAAGCAACAAAACUGACAGGCGCCAGAGGGCAGAGGAUUGUAGAUCGUGGUAAAGCCUUUGCCUCUGCCUGUCUCUGGUGGAGCUGCGGCGCCACGGGAGGGUGGGAGAAUACAGUUCACGGGUUGAAGGACAGAGCGACACGCUGGGGAGAAAAAACAUCCUCUGCAAGUUCACAGGAAACAUGGGGAGGCUUUGGAGAAAAGGGAGCCUCCUACACUGUUCAUGGAAAUGCAGUCUGGUGCAGCCACUGGAGAACAGUAUGGCGAUUCCUCAAAAAGCUACAAAUAAACCAUAUGACCCAGCAACCCUGCUCCUGGGCAUGUAUCCAGAGGGAACUUUAAUUCAAAAAGAUACAUGUACCACAAGGUUCAUUUCAUAGCAGCACUAUUUACAAUAGCCUAGACAUGGAAACAGCCUAAAUGUCCAUCAGCAGAUGACUGGAUAAAGAAGCUAUGGUAUAUUUAUACAACAGAAUACUGCUCAGCCAUUAAAAAGAAUAAAACGAUGCCAUUUGCAGCAGCAUGGAUGGACCUGGAGAUUGUCAUUCUAUAUUUUAUUUACAAAACAGACAUACACUGUUGCCAACGAAAUGAAACAUGGAGUAGUUGUGGUGCAAAAUGUCUCCCAAGAUCCGGGUUCGUUUAUUUUUAUAUCCUUUACACAAAAGAGCAACCCUUGCCGAGCGCAGUGAGUAAGCAUUUUUUGAAUUGACGCAAGCGCACUACAUCUAAGACAUUCUUCUUAUUCAUUUCCUUAUCUUACAUUCAGACCCUCCUGUUCCCAGGCCUGUUCCUUUUGAGGAACUAGUAAACAUCCUUGUUUGCAAGCAAUGUUUCUCCCAGGAUCAGGCAGGAUCACUUGGCAGGAAAUUCUGUUUGCAGACAAGUCUGGCCACUUCUGUGAGAUGUCCCGCGUGCAGGCACACCCACGGUUUUCAUGCUAAAUCUCCUUCAUACACUUACAGAAAACAAACAUGGUUACCAGGGUGGGAAGGGAUACAUUGGGAGUUCAAGAUUUACAGAUACUAAUAUAUAUAUAUAAAACAUAAACAACAAAUUCAUACUGUAUUGCACAGGGAACUAUAUUCAGUAUCUUGUAGCAACUUAUGGUGAAAAAAUAUGAAAACGAAUAUAUGUACCUAUGUGACCGAAGCACUGUGCUGUACACCAGAAACUGACACAACACUGUAAACUGACUAGGCUUCCGUGGGUAACACUGAAAGGGAGUUAGCUUAGAAACAAUCUCUGAGAAACUUCUUCAUGAAUAGAUGGGCUCUCAUUUGCAGAGAACAGAUAAGAACUUGAGGGGAACAUUUCGUAGUCCCUCACAGCUCACUGUUUCAGGUUACAUAAAAGGGAAGAAAACUGAGUAUCAGACUAACUGGUUAAACUAGGUUUUGACUGCUAAAAGGGCACUGGCCUUACCACGUACCCAUAAGCACAGUGUGGAAGUGUUCACUGCCUACCAAAGAACUUUUCCAGUAUGUAAGAUAAAGAGGAGAAAGCACACAGGCCCUGAUCUAAACCAGAAACUAUGAAAGAUGGUAGUUUCUUUCAAUUAAAAAAAAACUGGUGUCAGGCUUAAAAUAUUCUACAGAACAGAGCAUAUUUACGUAAGAAUGACAUGAACUGAUUACAGGAAGCCACCAAAGCUCAUUUCAGAAGUUAAUAACUUUAUAGGAGAGAAACUGAAUUAACUAAGAUCUCAAGCUACAAAAAGAAGUAAAGAAACAAGAAAAAAGCAAAACUAUUACCAGGGGGGGAAAAAGCACUUUUAAUGUUCCUUUACAAAGGCCUCAUGUGGCAGAGUCGGUCACUUCCUGCCUCAGAUGUCCUUCCCUUGACCUUCGCCUCACAUCAAUGUCAGGGGAAGGGGGUGACUCACUACCGUUUGAUUCAAGGCACUGCCCUUGGCUGAACAGGGGUUGCAAAUGGGAGCUACCUUCUGAUACAAAUAAUUACAAAAUGCACAAGUCAGAGACCGGAGUUUUUCAGGUCUCAUGCUCAUCUGUAUAAUCAAUUUUAGAAAGUUUAAAUUUAUUAGAUUCCAAAACCACAAAUUAAUACAUCACAACUUGAUUAUCCACAAACAACUCAGCACUCAUCUGGAUCCAGGUGUCACCCCACUCCUGUGCUACGAGGUGCUUCCCUCUCAUUUGGCUUUUUCUAUCUCCCUGUUUCUUUGUCUGGCUCCCCUCCACUCUCCUGCCGCUUCUCCCUCUCCUCCGUCUCUCCCCGCACUCCUCUCCUGCCCCACUCUGCAGCCUGUUCCCCUCCUACUAUUCUUUCUCCCCUACUUUUCUCAAUGUCCCAAAUCUCCAUGCUUCCUGCCUUUUCUUCCAACUCUGCUCCUUCUGUGUGCUGCUCCCUCUGCUCCCCUGGUCUCCCCCUCCCCUCCAGCAUCCAGCUACUCUGAGGACCAGGGCUUCCACUCUUGACCCCUCCACGCACUCUCCGUGUGACGUGCCUCCCCACUGCUGGCCCUACUGUCACCAAGGGCUCCUCUCCCAUCCUCCCUUUAUCUCUGUACCUUCUUCUCCCCGCAGAUCCCGGUUUUCUGGACAUGCCUGUUUUACCCAUUUGCUACUUCCACUGCUGUUUCCCUUUCAUUCUUACCCUCUCUUUGCAAGACACCCGACCUCUACAGUGCCAUCUGAUCUCACCCACUCUUUCCCCCUUGGUUUUCUAAGUCACUGUGUUUCUCCUGAUCCCCCUGCCCACACUCAGAGGAGGCGAGAUGGAGUAAGCUGCUUGCCUCCUGAGAGAGCACUGAUGAAAUAAAAAUUCACAGUCUAAGGCAAGACAGGGAAAGUUUAAAGAUAAAACUUCCUCUGCCCACUUGGCUUCCUCCCUCCCCUCUGCGGUGCACUGUGCAGCUGCAUUAGGCGUUAACCAGACGUCCCCAGUGGCGGAAAUUCCUGCUCAACCAUAAAGAUCAAUUUCUCUUCCUUUGGCACCAGCCAUGUAACUUUAAAAGAUAACAUUCUCAGUCCUCUAAGGGGUCAGCAUGAGACAGGAGGUGGGCAGGGCACAAAUGUUAAAAGAAUGAGGAGGGGGACAAAGCCAUUUAGAAAAGCAGGAUUUGACAAGAAAAUGGACAGAUCCCAAGAUGGCAGAAGGUUUGACUUCCAGGAGACCCUGAGCUCCGUUACACACUGAGUGGUAAUACACCAGCAUGUUAAUGACACCCACCAGCACCACCACAGUUCCAAGGUGACCACAGAUGGACAAACAGUGGGCGGUGGCCCAAUUCCUGGAAACCCCUAUCCCUUCUUAAAAACAGAAUCGUCCUCCCACUUGUUUGCUAAGAAAUCACCCAGCCCAUAAAAACUAACCGCUUCCACACCCCGGGGCCACUCUCACUUUUUGAGAAGGUGUGCGUUCUGGAACGUGUAUCUCUCUAAAUAAACUUGUGCUCACUUUACUUUGGCUCACUCUUGAAUUCCUUCCUGUGAGACACCACAGACCCUCCCUUGGGGCUCUGUCUAGGGGCUCCCUAGCGAGCGUCCUGGGGCAUCUCCAGCAAUGACCCACCACUCGCCCAUGUGCUUGGUGAACUCUGCACAGUGACAAGGUAUCAUUUCCCUUAAGGAUAACAGCUGAUGCAGCAGAACAGACUCUCCAGCCGACCCGGGAGACCCUGGGCCACGCCUAAUGGAAGCUCUCAGUUAAGUACUCACUGGGGCCUUGUUACUGUCACUAGCUGUCCCACUUGUAUUCUGCCUGUUCUAUGAGUCAUUGUUUCUUGCACUACCGAAUGUGUGUCUGAGCCUCAGAUAAAAUUGGUGGUGAUCUGGCAACUUGAAACAACUGACCAAAUACACAGUCCUAUCUAUGAGAUCUAUGACUGUAACAGUGUAACUGUAAAUACGGAAAGAAGCAACAAGAGGGGACCAGUUCCUGGCCCAUAACAGGCUGGUCAGACAGACGGUCCGAGGCUUUCGGCUCCAGGCGGCAGGGCCUAGUCCAGCCACAGCAGGCUGACGGCCUAGCCACGAAAUCUCCUCGCCAGGCCUGGGAACGAGCAUUCCUAGCGCUGUGGGGCAAAUUGGCCACAAAAUGCCUCCCAAACCUCAGCUGAAAUUAAGACCAAAAGGGAAGGAAGGGAUGGUAAAAUAAAGAACGUUGCCCAUCACCCAGUUCUACAAGAAUCAGGUCGUUAGCCACUGCAGCCCCUGACCUACAGCACACAGCCUGGAAGGAAUUCAGGGUGAAUAUCAGGAUGAGGCGCUCUCUGCUCCGGGAAAACCGGCAGGACAGGCCCUUCAGACAAAUAUUCACAGGAGAAAUUUGUAUGAACCUGGAUUCUUGCAUCUUCCCACACUUAGAAAAGCACUAUGCCGUUCACUGAGACAUCUGUUCCUUGAGAACAGUUGUUAUCUUCUACCAACAUGUGUGCUUGAUUGCACGCACCCCUUUGCCAAAACCAUUUAUACAGUGGCCCCCACCCCUGCCUCUUCAGAACAGUUCUCAGAGCUGAGAGGCUGUCUCCUGGGCUAUAAUCCUCAGGUUGGCAGGAAUAAAUUUUUCAUUUCUUAGAUUGACUAUUAAUUUUUUUCACUGACUGCACAUUUUCCAGCAGGGUGGAAUUUGGGAUGGAAGAACACGGUGUCACACAGCUGGCCCAGGUCACCUCCUCUACUCAGGUGAGGGUGAGACAGACUGGGACUUGGGACCUGGAACCCUUUUUUGUGUGCACCUGGACAAAUGGCUCCUGGAGCAACAGAAUACAAAGAAACUAAUGGGACUAAAAAUAAAAGAGUGUGUGUGGGCAGCUGGAGCAACCCUGAACAACAGGAUACAAAAAGACCAAAACCCAACUGCCACUCCUGAGGUGCUGGGAGCAAACAACAGCAGGGCACUGUGCAUGGUCCCUGCACACAGCUCCACCACUGGGGGGUGGGGGUGGGCAGACCGCCUAAGCCACCAUUCCAGGCCGAACCCUGGACCUGCUCCCACCCUCACCCCAUUUAAGGGACCAGCUCGCCAUCACUGAAGGAGUCACAAAACGGCUUCCCUGCUGCUAAGACAGCUCUGUAGAGUUUACUGUGAUUGACUUGUUUUCUCCCAGUCUUUUCCCAGUUUUCUCUCCUAGCCUGUGCUACUCCUCGCUACUACUGUUUGACUUGGUUGAGUGACUACACGCUUAGCAACCCCGACCCUGUGAUUCAUGCCUUACCCUAAAUUACCUGCAUCCAAAACCCAGGAGCUACUCUCCAGAAAGGUCACGGAACAAUAACACUGAAGGAACCGCCAGAUCCUCCAAAGCCCAGCCCCCACCCCACGACGCUGGAGAGAUCAGACCUGGUAGGUAACACCACGGCAGCGCCCGGCUUGAAGGGCCACCAGAAACUUCACUUCUAUUGUUUGUUAUCACUGACGUGCUCCAUCCUGUUUGCCUGUAUUAUCACCAAGCCCCAAGCCAGGAGGGAUUCAGUUUCCACGCCGUUAGCCCGCUGUGACUCCCUUUGCCUGGCAAAGCAGUAAGACGGCUCUCUUCUCUGCUCGCAACUGCCUGAGUUUGAAUUCGCUUUUGGGGAUGCAAAGGCUGAUUUUUCGAGCAACAGAUUUCAUGACCAGGAAGGGACUCGAGGUCCCCCACUUUUCAAAGGAGGGGAUCUCUGCCUGAGCCCUCUGGGCCUGCCGCCCGGGCAGCUGACGCUCUGGGACAGGGGCAGAUGCAGCCCCAGCAGCUGCCAGGCCCCUUGGCUCAGGGGACUUCUUCCUCCUUCUCUCCGGCCUGGCCGGGACCUCUGACUGCUGAGCGCCCUUCGGAGACUCCCCGACUAGACUCUGGAACUACAACAAACAAUCCUAAAAUUUAUAUGGAAUUACAAAAGACCCAGAAUUGCCAAAGCAAUAUUGAAGAAAAAAAACCAUGCUGGC